This 226-nucleotide long non-coding RNA is filed under the name Mytilus galloprovincialis (Mediterranean mussel). The record is from RNAcentral. Lineage: Eukaryota; Metazoa; Mollusca; Bivalvia; Mytilida; Mytilidae.
UCUCGCUAUUUAUAUUUCAAUCUUUCCCAUUCUCUCACUCUUUCUUUUUCUCUCAAUCUUCCAAUCUUUCAUUUUUUUCUUUUUCUUACACAGAUUUUUUUCCUUUGGUCUCUCGCGCACUCUUUACUUUCUCUCAUACGCUCUUUCUUUUUUUCUCUCAAUCUCUUUCUUACUCUCUUACAGUGUGAGUGUGUGUGUGUGUGUGUUAGUUAGACUGAAUGUGUGA